GCCUUGAGCCCCUGCAGGACCGGAGAGCCGGAGGCAUUGACGUAGCCGCCGUUGGCCGGAGCCGGGCUGGGGCUCAGGCUGGAGGGACUGCCCAGGUUCCCGUUUUGCGAGCCCGGCAACGAGGCCGUGCUGUCCGGUGUGGGGCUGCAGGUGGACUCUUUGGACUCGUCGUCAUCCGACGAAGAUCUGAUCUCUCCGCCUUUCUUCCCUCCGGAGCUGCUGGUGGUGCCCCCUGUGCCGGAGCUGUUGGCUUUGGCGUUGGCGGCACGCUCCUGCUUGCGGAACUUGGCACGCCUGUUCUGAAACCACACCUGGUACACACACACACACACACACACCAGUGGGCGCCCCUUUAGAUGGAGGUCAUAUAGUUCAUGGAAUCCAGACUUUGGAAGACCUCUCACCUGUACUCUGGCUUCUGUCAGAUCUAUCUUCAGAGCGAGCUCCUCUCGGGUGUAAAUGUCCGGGUAGUGGGUCUCGGCGAAGACCCUCUCCAGUUCCUUCAGUUGAGAGCUGGUGAAGGUGGUCCGGAUGCGCCUCUGCUUCCGUUUCUCGUUCAGGCCCGAAGGGUCCGAGAAGAACUUAUAAGGGACUAUAUGAGGAGGAGAGUCAAUCCGUUUUAUUAUAUUGACAUGUUUGUAUUAUUUUUUUUUCCUAGAAUGUGCCUGUAAAUUUUGUAUACAUUUCUCUAUUGAGUCAAAAUAUGUAUUUAAUAUAUGUAAAAUGAUAUAAGGCAAUUGUAUUACUUUAAAUUAGUUGGUUAUCCUACUGUUCCAUCGCAAAAGAAUAACUCAUUGAUUUGAAUUUGUCAAUCAAGACUCCUCCGAGUCUUAAUGAAGGAUUCAAAGUCAUAAGAAGUUCUCAAAUUUGUUCAUUUUAAAUUUCAAUUUUCGCUGAUAUAUAGAUAACCAGGGCCUAAAAGAGGGAAACAAAAUAUUCUUGAUUUUUUUUAUUUGUUUUAUUUUUUUACAUUUUAAUAAACAUGUAGAUAUUGAUGUAAGAAAAAAAUGUAAUUGAAAUAGAAUCUCUACAGGCCUCAAAUAUAAGCAUCUGCCAUUGAAUGAACCGAUUGACGCGCGUUGUCUUUUGCAAAGUGUGGUCAAUUUCAUUUAUUUUUAAUUUUUUUUUUCUUCUUUCUACGUCCGAGGUAAUGUCUCCCUCCGCGUGUACCUGACGAGUACGGCGCGGGCUGGUGGUCGCGCAGGGCUCCCAGCGUGCAGCUGGCCGUGCUGAGCGGGGCGCAGGCCGGGUUGGAGAAGGGCCCGCCGCGGAUGGGGUUGUACUGGAACGAGCUGGCCUGGCUGCACGAGCUGAAGUCCGCGUAGGCCGACGCUUCCAUGGCGGCCAUGCAAGAGUCAUAGGAGUUCAGGAAGCUGGGUCGAUAUAAUUCAUGAUUGCAUGAAUCAGCUGCAGCAAUUUUCGGGCCCAUGAGGAGGCCGCCGUCCCUGUGGGUUCAAAGCUGGAUGAGGAAGGAGGAGGAGGACAGAGGGACGAGCAGGCUGCAAAUUCUGCGUUAAGAGCGGAGACACAAACGAUAAUAAGCACCUUGAACUCGCCUCCGUUUGUCCUGGCGGCAGAAGGUGGAUCCGAGCGAGCGAGUUCAGGAGGGAGCUUACGAGCAUGAUGGAGAGCCAGACUCGUCUUCAUCCUUGGGGAGGAUGAACGAUGCGCAUACACACGCACCUUAAAACCCAAAGUGCAAAACCUGAUCCACCAGCUACUUAAGACAAUGGGAAAUGUCUAUUGCUUACGCUUUUGCACCCGCAUUUUACACCAUAUUUCAUAGUGUCAUUCUCAUAGAGGCGACACUACAAUUACACACAUGCAGACGUUUUACAAAAAGUUCCAUCAUCAUCAGAAUAAUAUGAGAAAUGCAGAAAAUGAAUGGGUGGAUGUUGUAAUUCAAGUCAUUUUUAAUUUACUGUCACAACAUUCACUAAUAUUAAUCAGUGUAAAUUCUCAGUGAUCCAGGUCAUAGUAAUCCGCAAAAGUUAAAUUGAGGCAACUAGGCUCUUUUUUGUUGAAUUAUUAUUUUUUCUUUGUUUUCCAAAAACAUUCAAAAAUGACGUGGGCAAUUUUGCUACUGUGAUAAUGUUAGAAUAAAGUUGUAGAACAAGAGUAUUUAUUUUAUGAGAAUAGAGUCAAACAUUGCAAAUCAUUUUACAAGAACAAAGUCCAAAUGUCUUAUUACUGCAAAAAAAUUACAAAUAUUUUUGAAGUCUGAAUAAUACAAUGAAAAGGUGUGAGACGAAAAGCUGAAAUAUUGCAACUCAUACUUAGAAUGAAAACAGCAAUAUUUAAAUUUUUUUAUUUUACAAGAAAUUAGUCUGAAUUGUGUAAUAUAUACACACGAAGUUCUAGAGUGAUCAUGAGUCAAAAGUGCAGAAAACUAAACAAGUGCAACCUGAAAUAGAUGACAACAGAUCUCAGUGUUGUGUUUUUGGGGGGUCCGGGGAAUGAAUGCCUCCCCCCCCCCCUGCACGCUAAUUCUUCCCUAUGGAGAAGAAGACAUUCCUGCAGGGUGUGUGCGACGUUCUCUACACACCCAAAUUCCAAAGAAAUUCUCCUGUCACGUCAUCUCACAAGGUGGACAAGCGUCAUUGUCGUACGACUCCCACCCACCCGCACGCACACGCAUCCAUCAAGAGGCGUCAAUCAGGACACACACACAAAAACAGGCGGAAUUUACUUUUUGUUGCACUGACUUUUAUUUCCAUUGUGGAGGUUGGCGCACACACCAACAUGACAAACGUCACAUCUUGCUGGUUCAAACAGUCCCGAUCCAUCCAUUUGAGUGAAUAUUCUAAUCCAGUGUCGACAUAACGAUUCACGAUUAGCAUGCAUAAUAAGGAGCAAUUCACAUUUUAUAACAUAAUAAUUCAAGCGGAUUGAUUGACGUGAUUUCCGUUGUAUUGGAUGGUCGUGGACGACAGGCAGCCAAACCAGCUUUGGUUUUGAAAACAACCCUGCACAGUAGAUCACUCUUCAUCACAUUUAAAUAACAGCCAUCCUUCAGUUAUUAUUAUUAUUAUUAUUUAAAUGGCUUGAACAACCUCAGCUAACCCACAUUUGUGAGAAAAAGAAUCUUAUCAAUAUUUUAUAAACAUUUUAAUCAUCACUGUGGUCUAACAGCAGUGUGCUAUCUGAUGCUUCACAUUAAUGAGAUGUUGGCAAUGAAUGAAUAUGUACUACACUACUUGUACAACUCUGCUCUACGACGAGGUGAGGGUCUUACUCUUUUUGCUAGUACAGCGGCACCUUGACUCACAAGUUUGUUUUCCAUGACUAAGCUCGCAACUCAAAUUUGUUGUAAUCCAUUUUCCCCAUUGAAAUGCCAAUCAGUUUUUAAUAAAGAAAA
Phyllopteryx taeniolatus (common seadragon) is the source of this 3358-nucleotide long non-coding RNA. RefSeq lists it as uncharacterized. The record is from RefSeq and is a predicted model, not a curated record. Lineage: Eukaryota; Metazoa; Chordata; Actinopteri; Syngnathiformes; Syngnathidae. The transcript has 5 exons.